Molecule: non-coding RNA, 75 nt
Organism: Hypoxylon fuscum
Lineage: Eukaryota; Fungi; Ascomycota; Sordariomycetes; Xylariales; Hypoxylaceae
Source: the annotation of a GenBank genome assembly
GUAUUAAUGGUUUAGUGGUAAACCCGUCGCUCGCAUCGAUGGGCCACAAGCCGUGUUCGAUUCACGGCUGGUGCG